Molecule: ribosomal RNA, 468 nt
Filed under: uncultured bacterium
Lineage: Bacteria
Description: partial 16S ribosomal RNA
Rfam family: Bacterial small subunit ribosomal RNA
Source: RNAcentral
GAUGAACGCUGGCGGCGUGCUUAACACAUGCAAGUCGAACGGAAAGGCCCAGCCUUUGUGGGGUGCUCGAGUGGCGAACGGGUGAGUAACACGUGAGUAACCUGCCCUUGACUUUGGGAUAACUCUGGGAAACUGGGGCUAAUACCGGAUAGGAGCUCCUGCUGCAUGGUGGGGGGUGGAAAGUUUCGGCGGUUGGGGAUGGACUCGCGGCUUAUCAGCUUGUUGGUGGGGUAGUGGCGUACCAAGGCUUUGACGGGUAGCCGGCCUGAGAGGGUGACCGGCCACAUUGGGACUGAGAUACGGCCCAGACUCCUACGGGAGGCAGCAGUGGGGAAUAUUGCACAAUGGGCGGAAGCCUGAUGCAGCAACGCCGCGUGCGGGAUGACGGCCUUCGGGUUGUAAACCGCUUUCGCCAGUGACGAAGCGUGAGUGACGGUAACUGGUAAAGAAGCACCGGCUAACUACGUG